RNAcentral lists this transfer RNA (85 nucleotides) under Felis catus (domestic cat). It matches the Rfam family "tRNA". From Rfam's summary of the family: Transfer RNA (tRNA) molecules are approximately 80 nucleotides in length. Their secondary structure includes four short double-helical elements and three loops (D, anti-codon, and T loops). The record is from Rfam by way of RNAcentral. Lineage: Eukaryota; Metazoa; Chordata; Mammalia; Carnivora; Felidae.
GCCUGGGUGGCUCAGUCGGUUGAGUGUCCGACUUCGGCUCAGGUCAUGAUCUCACGGUCCGUGAGUUCGAGCCCCGCUUCGGGCU